RNAcentral lists this long non-coding RNA (586 nucleotides) under Hordeum vulgare. RNAcentral's name for it is "long non-coding RNA (HVUL_LNC011441)". The record is from RNAcentral. Lineage: Eukaryota; Viridiplantae; Streptophyta; Magnoliopsida; Poales; Poaceae.
GGGUCACCCACUCUCCAUGACACCUCACAGCUCCCUCCCUCUGGUCUCGCCCCAGCCAUGGCCCUCACAAACCAACUCACCCAACCACGCCGACGACGCCGUCGAGCCUGCCUUCCCCGGCCAGCACGCCGUUGAGCCUGCCCUCGUCCGGUAGCACCACGCGCCUCCGAGCUUGCCACGCCUCUGACAGCCGGCGUCCCCUCGGACCGGCCCAGGGUCGACCACGCUGUAAGUCGGACCACCAUAUGAAAUAUGAAGCUUUGCUUUGGUUUUUCCCUUCCUUUCCUUUCCAUCCUAUUCACUACCUGCAAGCUGCAAGCUGCAAGCUGAUAUCUACUCAUCUUCAUGAUAUGCUGGUGCUGAAUCAUAACGCUCAUCAUCUCCCUUGAUUUUAACUUGGAUGCAGCUGCCCCCUUCUCCGCUUCCAUUGGGAAUGGAAGCGAAAAUAGGCAUCACUCCAUCUCCAUUAGUCUCUCCUUGGGACUUGUGAGGAAUUUUCAUAGGCUCUUUCCAAUCCACACCACCUACUGUAUUUCUUCUUCACCACAUGGCCGAUCCAGACGCGCUGCUGCUACGCAAGUCAACG